This 467-nucleotide ribosomal RNA is filed under the name uncultured bacterium. RNAcentral describes it as "partial 16S ribosomal RNA". It matches the Rfam family "Bacterial small subunit ribosomal RNA", at positions 31 to 507 of the family's 1533-position model. The record is from RNAcentral.
GAACGCUGGCGGCGUGCUUAACACAUGCAAGUCGAACGGUGAACGAGGGAGCUUGCUCCCUCCGGAUCAGUGGCGAACUGGUGAGUAACACGUGAGCAAUCUGCCCCGAACUCUGGGAUAAGCGUUGGAAACGACGUCUAAUACCGGAUACGACGCGGGAGGGCAUCCUCUCCGCGUGGAAAGAACUUCGGUUCGGGAUGAGCUCGCGGCCUAUCAGCUUGUUGGUGAGGUAACGGCUCACCAAGGCGACGACGGGUAGCCGGCCUGAGAGGGUGACCGGCCACACUGGGACUGAGACACGGCCCAGACUCCUACGGGAGGCAGCAGUGGGGAAUAUUGCACAAUGGGCGCAAGCCUGAUGCAGCAACGCCGCGUGAGGGACGACGGCCUUCGGGUUGUAAACCUCUUUUAGCAGGGAAGAAGCGAAAGUGACGGUACCUGCAGAAAAAGCACCGGCUAACUACGUG